UGAUUAUGGCCAAAUCACUCCCUCUGUGCCUCAGUUUCCCUGUGUACAUAAUGGGGAAUACUAGCACUGCCCAUCUCCUGGGGGCACUGACAGCCCAUUCACGAUUGCAAGGAGCUUCGAUCCUAUGGCCAUGGAAGACGAGAGGAGGACCUGGGUAGGAAGAACCACGCAGACUGCAAGAGCUGGGGGAGGGAGGCAGGCAUCAAGGGAGGGUCGGGAAUUGGAGACGUUUCCUGAACAAAGCAGGACGUGGCAGGACAUCAGGAGCACCUCAAAGGAGGGAGUCCAGUUGUGCUCUCAGGUCACACCAGGGUCAACUCAGUCACCCCCAGCAGAGCAGAGAUCAGAGUAAGCCCCAGGUGUUGCUUAGCGCCCAAGUUUCUCUCUGCAAGGUGGAGGAUUCGAAGGAUGAACGAGUUCCAGCAUCUCUCCAGCACGAACCUACCCCUGAUGCUGGACUGAAGCGGGACGGGCUGCUCUCCCGGGCAAGGCGGGGGAGCAGGGCAACGUGACAGUGCAGCACGCACCUCGCAGCUGGGCAGGAGUCGCUGAGAAAUAACGUGUCAACAGGGGGAAAAAAAAACCAACCCCAACCUAAGUUGGCUCAGCAGAGACUUGGGCUGGCUCAGAAUCAAGGGCUCUGGCAGGGUUGAUCCAGGGAAAGCCCCUCCUCUGCCCCCAGCCAUGUCAAGGGUGCAGCAACAUUCGAUGUUGUCCUGGCAGAUUUCAGCAUCUCAGCAAAGUGAAAGUUGGGGGUGGGGAUGGCUGGUGUUGGGGGAACCAUGCGGUCUGGAGGUUAAGCCCCUGGACAGCACCAUAUCCUCUGCAUUCACCCUUCAUUCCCCUCUAGCUACCUGCCUUCCUUCUCUCAUCAUUGCCUGGCUCCCCCACCCCCACGCUUCUUCUGCCAUCCCUCCCUUCCCAACCCAAAACACGAGCAGUGACUGGGCCCCUGAAAUUCCAGGAGAUAAGGCUGCUGAAAGCUAAGCUGCGCCCCAUCAUCACCCAGCGCUGAGACAGAUGUUUGGUAACCGGCCAUGAGCCUCUUGGGCACAGGGACCCACCUCCCGCUCACUCGCCUCGAGCAGAACUGAGACAGACUCCGGUGCUUUCCCCUACCCCCACAUGGCGUCGGACCGUCCCCCCUCCGCACUUCAGAAGGCCAGGGUGGCUAGAUAGCGGGAAAAUAAGCUAAAGGCUUCACACAUCCUGGUAACCGUUGAAGGAACACGAUGGUCUCACCACAAAAAUUAGCAACAGAAUAAAAACCACCAGCUCGUCCUCUGAAAGGAGAAGGGGAGGCCAGGGCCGAGGGCUACCGACCACAGGCAGGAACUAGCCAGGGGCCCUGGGCUCAUUUUGAUCUGAAACUAGGCUUGAGCUAAGUACCAGUGAUGGACCUCCUUCAAAGUCAUCCUAAUGACCUUGGAACUCCCAACUGAAAGAGGACAUGAAAUUGUAUACAAGAUCCUUGGGUCCUGAUUCUGUCAUCUCAGAUCUGCUUAAGCUUCUUCAGGGGAAGUUUGAGUCGCAAGAUUGAGGUCCCAGUUAUGCCGGUAAACCCUGAAUGUGAGAUUUGGACACUGGACUAUAAACUAUGACCUAUUUCUGAAAGAAAUCUUUGCAACCACAAAGCUCACCAUCUCUGCUAUGAAUCUGCACCUAAAGGAACUGAACUCAUAUCUGGAUAAGAAAGCAGACCCAGCGAAAAUGCUCACAGUAAGAAACCAGCAGUUAGAACCCAAACAAAAGCAAAAAAUAGCUGAUAUGGAAGGAGAAGCUGCUGAAAGAGAACGCCUGGGGUUUGAACAUGAACAAAGAAUGGCAGAUAUUUGUUUGCAGGAACUAGAAGCUAAGGCAGAAGUGGACAGACUUAAGCUCCAACUCAAGAGAAUAAAGGAACAGCAGGAACUGUAUCAUCCAGAAAAGCCAGCUCCUCUCAACAGCAAAGAUGUGGCUAGAAUCUAUCCAGUUUGUAACAAUGUUGGUCUGUUGUUUGACUCUAAGCAGUUGUCUGUGUGUAACCAAAUUUACC
Molecule: long non-coding RNA, 2035 nt
Organism: Mauremys reevesii (Reeves's turtle)
Lineage: Eukaryota; Metazoa; Chordata; Testudines; Geoemydidae
Exons: 3
Source: RefSeq, a predicted model, not a curated record